This is a long non-coding RNA of Oncorhynchus kisutch (coho salmon), 2512 nucleotides long. RefSeq lists it as uncharacterized. The record is from RefSeq and is a predicted model, not a curated record. Lineage: Eukaryota; Metazoa; Chordata; Actinopteri; Salmoniformes; Salmonidae. The transcript has 4 exons.
AAACAGUCAGGCUCUUCAAGAUGAAGACGAGGCUGUUAUGAAGUCUCCUACUGCCUCUCCUGAACCAAGCGACAAAGCCGCUUGCCCCACUAAGACAGGGCAAGGGGUGGACACCAAGCUCCCAUGUACAAGAAUCUAGACUGGGAGGUAGUGUGGACCAGAAUGAGCCAGAUGAACAGCUACCCAACCCACCUACCUCAAACCAGACGGAAGCUGGGGUAGCUGAAGCAGAAAAUGACGAGAACGAGCUGAAACUCGUGGAUGACGGUACCCAUUGCAGCUCCCAAGAGCCCCACCACCACCACCAAAGGAAAAACCCAGUCCACUUCCAAGAACCCAGUCACCACGGGGACAGCGACUACGAGGACGAUUCCGCGAAAGACGUGAAGGAAGAGGAGGACGUGGACCAACCUGAGUGUCCAUAUGGCACAGACUGCUACAGCCGGUAUCAUACAACAACGAUGAUGAUGAGUUUGGGGACGAUGACCGCUUCAUCAAUGAUGAGAGCGAGGACGUAAGUGAAGACUAUGAGCCACCUGACUCAGACGACAGUGGCAAGGAGGACCUCAAAAGACUCUAGAAAGAAGCCAAGGCCUUCACAAAUCUGAACUACUGGCCUAAACUGGACUAAUCUCCCUUUACCUGUUUUUAAACUAAGCAUGCUAUUUAAGCAGGGUUGAAGCGUGUUUGGGUAUAGCUUUUUUCCUCUUCAAACACACUUGGAAUCCAGCAGGUCUAGAAUCUCCAAUCUUAGCCUCCCUGUGCUGGGAAAAUUGUCAGCAAUUUACCCCAUCAGUUGGGAAGAAUCAAUAAGGGGAUUCUUGACUUGAUGUCUUUGAUGUCAUAUUGCUGGCUUUACCUUUUUUUUUUUAAGUAAUUGAAUUUAUGUGUAAUACUUUCUUGGAUAGUAAUUCAUCACUAGCAUUUUUGAGGUGUAGGAAUUCUUGAUUAUUGGUUUGUUUGAAUAGUAUGGACAAGCAGUAAAACAUAUAUAUAUAUUCCUUUAAAAAUCAUUGAUCAGUCCCUUCAGAAAACACCCCUUGAUUUUUUUCACAUUUUGUUGUUAUAAAGUACAAUUAAAUUGUCCAUUUUCCGUCAACUAUCUACACUAAAUGUUUUGUAAUUUCAAAGAAAAAUGCUAGAUUUAGUAUUUAUUAAGGAAAAUAUUCAGUAAAUGUUAAACACCUUUUGGUGUGAAUUGUUUUGGGUAAGUCUCUAAGAGCUUUGCACACCAGUAUUGUGCAAAAUUUGCCCAUUAUUCUUUAAAGAAUUAUUCAAGCUCUGUCAAGUUGGUUGUUGAUCAUUGUCUGUUGGAAAGCAGACUGAACCAGGUUUUCCUCUAGGUUUUUGCCUGUGCUUAGAACUAUUCUCUUUAUUUUUAUCCUGAAAAGCUCCCUAGUUCUUGCAGACAAUAAGCAUAUCCAUAACGUGAUGCAGCCACCACCAUGCUGGAAAAUACGAAGAGUGGUACUCGGUGAUGUGAUGAAUUUGCCCCAAACAUAACACUUUGUAUUCAGGACAAAAGUUUUUUUCUUUGCCACAUUAUUCACAGUAUUACUUUAAUUUCUUUUUGCAAACAGGAUGCAUCGUCAUUUAGGUUAGGAUUAUCGAGUAACUACACUGUUUUAAUGGCCUCAUGGUGAAAUCCCUGAGUGGUUUCCUUCCUCUCCAGCAACUGACUUAGGAAGGACGCAUGUAUCUCUGUAGUGACUGUGUGUAUUGAUACACCAUCCAAAACCUAAUGAAUAACUUCACCAUGCUCAAUAUUCAGCAUCUGCUUUUUAAUUUUUUUUACUCAUUUACCAAUCGGUGACCUUCUUUGUGAGGAAUUGAGAAACCUCCCUGGUCUUUGUGGUUGAAUCUGUGCUUGAAUUUCACAACUCAACUGAGGGACCUUACAGAUGAUUAUAUGUGUGAGACGGGCUAGUCAUUCAAAAAUCAUGUUAACCACUAUUGCAGAGAGUGAGUCCAUGCAACUUAUGUGAUUUGCUAAGCAAAUGUUUACUCCUGAACUUAUUUACGCUUGUCAUCACAAAGGGGUUGAAUACAUAUUGCCUCAAGCCAUUCCAGCCAUUUUUGUUUUCAUUUGUAAAACAUUCUUAAACUCACUUAGACAUUCUGGGGUAUUGUGUGUAGAUCAGUGACACAAAAUGUAGUUCUUUAAUCCAUUUUAAAUUCACGCUGUAACACAACAAAAUGUGGGAGAAGUCCAAGGGAUGUGAAUACUUUCUGAAGGCAUUAUAAAUAAUGUAUCAUACCAGUAGUUAUGUGUUUAAUUGACAGUAGUUUGUCAUGAUUUGUAUGAUCAAUGCCAGUGUCAUGUUUUUCUACAGUACUUUUACAGCUUUUAUAGAACAAUAUUCAUUGUCUGUCUCAAUGUAGAAAGAUGUGUAAAAAUACACAAGAUGGGAUUACACCAGAGUGUAAUAGUGUUUAAUUAUAAAAAAUAAAUAAAAAUAUAUACAGUUUUUUUGUUUUUUUGUAAGCAAAUUUGUAUUUAUUUUGUCGUCCA